This 150-nucleotide small RNA is filed under the name Serratia fonticola. Its description in RNAcentral is "RtT sRNA". It matches the Rfam family "RtT RNA". From Rfam's summary of the family: This family represents a bacterial cis-regulatory element known as RtT RNA. The exact function of RtT is unknown although it is thought that it may be involved in changing the cellular response in relation to amino acid starvation. Lineage: Bacteria; Pseudomonadati; Pseudomonadota; Gammaproteobacteria; Enterobacterales; Yersiniaceae. RNAcentral also lists the same sequence under 3 other names. The record is from RNAcentral.
AUGAGCAUCGUUCGGGGAAGGUAAGAACCUUAUAACAAGGUUCAAGUCUCACAAAGUGAGACAAUGCCUUCAAACAGUUCGCGCCGCGUAACGGAAGUUGCUGGCACGAAGGGUGAAGAGUUAAGCGACGAACAAUCCUUCUCUCCACCU